CCUACGGGAGGCAGCAGUGAGGAAUAUUGGUCAAUGGACGAGAGUCUGAACCAGCCAAGUAGCGUGAAGGAUGACUGCCCUAUGGGUUGUAAACUUCUUUUAUAUGGGAAUAAAAUGUUCCACGUGUGGGAUUUUGUAUGUACCAUAUGAAUAAGGCUCGGCUAACUCCGUGCCAGCAGCCGCGGUAAUACGGAGGAUCCGAGCGUUAUCCGGAUUUAUUGGGGUUAAAGGGAGCGUAGGUGGAUUGUUAAGUCAGUUGUGAAAGUUUGCGGCGCAACCGUAAAAUUGCAGUUGAAACUGGCAGUCUUGAGUACAGUAGAGGUGGGCGGAAUUCGUGGUGUAGCGGUGAAAUGCUUAGAUAUCACGAAGAACUCCGAUUGCGAAGGCAGUUCACUGGACUGCAACUGACACUGAGGCUCGAAAGUGUGGGUAUCAAACAGGAUUAUAUACCCCAGUAGUC
Molecule: ribosomal RNA, 460 nt
Filed under: uncultured bacterium
Lineage: Bacteria
Description: partial 16S ribosomal RNA
Rfam family: Bacterial small subunit ribosomal RNA
Source: RNAcentral